Long non-coding RNA from Artibeus jamaicensis (Jamaican fruit-eating bat), 804 nucleotides. RefSeq lists it as uncharacterized. The transcript has 4 exons. Lineage: Eukaryota; Metazoa; Chordata; Mammalia; Chiroptera; Phyllostomidae. The record is from RefSeq and is a predicted model, not a curated record.
GGAGAUUGGGUCCACAGAGAUGUAAUUUACCCUGGAGUGCCCAAGGCUGGGAACUGAGCACCGGGAGAGAUUUUCACCUGAGGGCUGGAUUUGUAUGAGAUUUCACGGGUAGGCCCCGAUUGACUUGAAAGUAUUGCCCAGGUUAAUUGGCUGAGGACCCUUGGAGUUGGCUCGUUGCUAAGGAGAACUGUGGGAGGACCAUCUGAAAGCACCUACUUCUCCAAGGUGUUCAAAGUAAUGAGACAAACAGGCCGUGCCGCUCUCGCCCACUCAUUAACUUCACAAAAUCAUUGAAACGGAUGGCCACACCAGCAAGUCCAGCUCACGGGAUGACUCUGAACCCAUGGGUAAUCAAUGACAAAUAUGGAGAAAUGAAAUGCCUCUAAAACGGACUACCUCGAAUUUCAGAAAAUGGCAUAGAGAAUGGGAGAUCACAGAGACCACACUCUUUAAGUUCCAGAAAGCCAUUUUAGUCACUAUUAAAGUCCUAGUAAAGUACCAAAGAACUUGGCAAAACUUCCAAACGUUUCAAAUACUAGACUAUGACUUGUGAUAUUUUGUGUCUCUCUUGGGCAAUUGAAUAUUCUAUGUCACUCAAAGAAAACAUGGUCCAUCUAACCCACCCCUUUCUUUUCCCCUGUCUACCACCAACCAGAUCUAAAUGGCAGUUGAGUAUACAGAUGAGGGUAUUCAUUACAGAAUCAUUUAUGGGAAUUGGAGGCAGCAGAAAUGUCCAACACUAGAGGAUUAGGCAAGCAAAGAGUAUAUAUAUAAAUAGCAGAUGAUUAAAAGGCAGUUAGAAAU